CGGCGGACGGGUGAGUAACACGUGGGCAACCUGCCUAUAAGACUGGGAUAACUUCGGGAAACCGGAGCUAAUACCGGAUACGUUCUUUUCUCGCAUGAGAGAAGAUGGAAAGACGGUUUACGCUGUCACUUAUAGAUGGGCCCGCGGCGCAUUAGCUAGUUGGUGAGGUAAUGGCUCACCAAGGCGACGAUGCGUAGCCGACCUGAGAGGGUGAUCGGCCACACUGGGACUGAGACACGGCCCAGACUCCUACGGGAGGCAGCAGUAGGGAAUCUUCCGCAAUGGACGAAAGUCUGACGGAGCAACGCCGCGUGAACGAAGAAGGCCUUCGGGUCGUAAAGUUCUGUUGUUAGGGAAGAACAAGUACCAGAGUAACUGCUGGUACCUUGACGGUACCUAACCAGAAAGCCACGGCUAACUACGUGCCAGCAGCCGCGGUAAUACGUAGGUGGCAAGCGUUGUCCGGAAUUAUUGGGCGUAAAGCGCGCGCAGGUGGUUCCUUAAGUCUGAUGUGAAAGCCCACGGCUCAACCGUGGAGGGUCAUUGGAAACUGGGGAACUUGAGUGCAGAAGAGGAAAGUGGA
Molecule: ribosomal RNA, 583 nt
Filed under: Bacillus sp. EECC-603
Lineage: Bacteria; Bacillati; Bacillota; Bacilli; Caryophanales; Bacillaceae
Description: bacterial SSU rRNA
Rfam family: Bacterial small subunit ribosomal RNA
Source: RNAcentral